GAGUUUGAUCCUGGUCAAAACGAACGCUGGCGGUUUUUUUACACAUGCAGUCGAACGAGAUCUUCGGGUCUAGUGGCUGCACGGGUGCUAACGCGUGGGAAUCUGCCCUUGGGUUCGGAAUAACAGUGAGAAAUUACUGCUAAUACCGGAUGAUGUCUUCGGACCAAAGAUUUAUCGCCCAGGGAUGAGCCCGCGUAGGAUUAGGUAGUUGGUGGGGUAAUGGCCUACCAAGCCCGACUGAUCUUAGCUGGUCUGAGAGGAUGAUCAGCCACACUGGGACUGAGACACGGACCACACUCCUACGGGAGGCAGCAUGGGGAAUAUUGGACAAUGGGCGAAGCCUGAUCCAGCAAUGCUGCGUGAGUGAUGAAAGCCUUACGGUUGAAAGCUCUUUUACCAUGGAUGAUAAUGACUGUACCUGGAGAAUAAGCUCCGUAACUCCGGCCAGCAGCCGCGGUAAUACGAGGGAGCUAGCGUUGUUCCGGAAUUACUGGGCCUAAAGCGCGCGUACGCGGACUCAAGUCAAGUGAAAAGCCCGGGCUCAACCCCCGGAACUGGCUUUGAAACUAGGUGACUAGAAUCUUGAAGGUCCCCGGAAUUCCCUGGAAAGGUGAAUCGUAGAUAUUUCGAAGAACACCAGCGGCGGAAGGAUUGCGACUGUAUUGACGCUG
RNAcentral lists this ribosomal RNA (671 nucleotides) under uncultured Alphaproteobacteria bacterium. RNAcentral describes it as "bacterial SSU rRNA". It matches the Rfam family "Bacterial small subunit ribosomal RNA", at positions 9 to 748 of the family's 1533-position model. The record is from RNAcentral. Lineage: Bacteria; Pseudomonadati; Pseudomonadota; Alphaproteobacteria.